GACGAACGCUGGCGGCGUGCUUAACACAUGCAAGUCGAACGGAAAGGCCCUGCUUUUGUGGGGUGCUCGAGUGGCGAACGGGUGAGUAACACGUGAGUAACCUGCCCUUGACUUUGGGAUAACUUCAGGAAACUGGGGCUAAUACCGGAUAGGAGCUCCUGCUGCAUGGUGGGGGUUGGAAAGUUUCGGCGGUUGGGGAUGGACUCGCGGCUUAUCAGCUUGUUGGUGGGGUAGUGGCUUACCAAGGCUUUGACGGGUAGCCGGCCUGAGAGGGUGACCGGCCACAGUGGGACUGGGAUACGGCCCAGACUCCUACGGGAGGCAGCAGUGGGGAAUAGUGCACAAUGGGCGGAAGCCUGAUGCAGCAACGCCGCGUGCGGGAUGACGGCCUUCGGGUUGUAAACCGCUUUCGCCUGUGACGAAGCGUGAGUGACGGUAUGGGUAAAGAAGCACCGGCUAACUACGUG
This 467-nucleotide ribosomal RNA is filed under the name uncultured bacterium. RNAcentral describes it as "partial 16S ribosomal RNA". It matches the Rfam family "Bacterial small subunit ribosomal RNA", at positions 28 to 507 of the family's 1533-position model. The record is from RNAcentral.